RNAcentral lists this ribosomal RNA (484 nucleotides) under uncultured bacterium. RNAcentral's name for it is "partial 16S ribosomal RNA". It matches the Rfam family "Bacterial small subunit ribosomal RNA", at positions 29 to 507 of the family's 1533-position model. The record is from RNAcentral.
AUUGAACGCCGGCGGCAUGCUUUACACAUGCAAGUCGAACGGCAGCGCGGGCUUCGGCCUGGCGGCGAGUGGCGAACGGGUGAGUAAUACAUCGGAACGUGCCCAGUAGUGGGGGAUAGCCCGGCGAAAGCCGGAUUAAUACCGCAUACGACCUGAGGGUGAAAGCGGGUGAUCUUCGGACCUCGCGCUAUUGGAGCGGCCGAUGGCAGAUUAGCUAGUUGGUGGGGUAAAGGCCUACCAAGGCGACGAUCUGUAGCUGGUCUGAGAGGACGACCAGCCACACUGGGACUGAGACACGGCCCAGACUCCUACGGGAGGCAGCAGUGGGGAAUUUUGGACAAUGGGCGAAAGCCUGAUCCAGCAAUGCCGCGUGUGUGAUGAAGGCCUUCGGGUUGUAAAGCACUUUUGGCGGGAACGAAAAGGACUGUGCCAAUACCACGGUUCGAUGACGGUACCCGCAGAAUAAGCACCGGCUAACUACGUG